UCCUUGUCUUUCCCGCCUAUAUACCGCCGUCGUCAGCUCACCCUUUGAGGGAACCAUAGUAAGCAAAAUUGGCACAGCCCAGUACGUCAGGUCGAGGUGUAGCUAAUGAGAGGGGAUGAGAUGGGCUACAUUUCCUAAACAAGGAAAUACGAAUAAUGAUUCUGAAACGAGCAUUAGAAGGAGGAUUUAGUAGUAAGUAGAAAACAGAGUGUUCUACUGAAUCGGCCACUUAAGCGCGCACACACCGCCCGUCACUCUCCCCAAGCUAAACAAAAAUUCAUUCCUAAAACCCCCACCUGCGAUAGGGGAGGCAAGUCGUAACAUGGUAAGUGUACCGGAAGGUGCACUUGGAAAAAU
This 357-nucleotide ribosomal RNA is filed under the name Dascyllus trimaculatus (three spot damselfish). Its description in RNAcentral is "partial 12S ribosomal RNA". It matches the Rfam family "Bacterial small subunit ribosomal RNA", at positions 1023 to 1533 of the family's 1533-position model. The record is from RNAcentral. Lineage: Eukaryota; Metazoa; Chordata; Actinopteri; Pomacentridae.